GUGUCCCACACGCCCCCACACUUGGGACAUCCCAAGUUCUCCACGCCAAGGGUGUUUGACAGCCCAAUAGCUGCAGGUUCCUAGUAUCUAGCAAUAGCACAAAGCAAGGAGAAAGGUUAGAGAAGAGAAAGAAAAGAAGAUUAAGAAAAGAGAUCAAGUGUUGAUCGCGAUCCAGGCUUCAUUUAGAUUCAGUGGGCUGAAUUUAUUUAGAGAAAAAAAUUUAAGUUCUUGAGGACUGUUCCAUACUGAUCCCGAGUGGAUACCCAUAG
Molecule: long non-coding RNA, 269 nt
Filed under: Elaeis guineensis (African oil palm)
Lineage: Eukaryota; Viridiplantae; Streptophyta; Magnoliopsida; Arecales; Arecaceae
Description: long non-coding RNA (EGUI_LNC060428)
Source: RNAcentral